GACGAACGCUGGCGGCGUGCUUAACACAUGCAAGUCGAGCGGUAAGGCCCUUUCGGGGGUACACGAGCGGCGAACGGGUGAGUAACACGUGGGUGACCUGCCCUCAGCUCUGGGGAUAAGCCUGGGAAACUGGGUCUAAUACUGGAUAUGACUCCACGGUGCAUGUCGUGGGGUGGAAAGCCUUGUGCGGCUGAGGAUGGGCCCGCGGCCUAUCAGCUUGUU
This 222-nucleotide ribosomal RNA is filed under the name uncultured bacterium. RNAcentral's name for it is "partial 16S ribosomal RNA". It matches the Rfam family "Bacterial small subunit ribosomal RNA", at positions 28 to 250 of the family's 1533-position model. The record is from RNAcentral.